GAGUGGCGGACGGGUGAGUAACGCGUGAGCAACCUGCCCUGCAACGGGGGACAACAGUUGGAAACGACUGCUAAUACCGCAUGAGACCACGAAACCGCAUGGUUUUGAGGUAAAAGGAUUUAUUCGAUGCAGGAUGGGCUCGCGUCCCAUUAGAUAGUUGGUGAGGUAACGGCCCACCAAGUCAACGAUGGGUAGCCGACCUGAGAGGGUGAUCGGCCACACUGGAACUGAGACACGGUCCAGACUCCUACGGGAGGCAGCAGUGGGGAAUAUUGGGCAAUGGGGGAAACCCUGACCCAGCAACGCCGCGUGAGGGAAGAAGGUCUUCGGAUUGUAAACCUUUGUCCUAUGGGACGAAAGAAAUGACGGUACCAUAGGAGGAAGCUCCGGCUAACUACGUGCCAGCAGCCGCGGUAAUACGUAGGGAGCAAGCGUUGUCCGGAAUUACUGGGCGUAAAGGGUGCGUAGGUGGUCAUGUAAGUCAGAUGUGAAAGACCGGGGCUUAACCCCGGGGUUGCAUUUGAAACUGUGUGACUUGAGUACAGGAGAGGGAAGUGGAAUUCCUAGUGUAGCGGUGAAAUGCGUAGAUAUUAGGAGGAACACCAGUGGCGAAGGCGACUUUCUGGACUGUAACUGACACUGAGGCACGAAAGCGUGGGGAGCAAACAGGAUUAGAUACCCUGGUAGUCCACGCCGUAAACGAUGGAUACUAGGUGUGGGGCCCGAUAGGGUUCCGUGCCGAAGCAAACGCAUUAAGUAUCCCGCCUGGGGAGUACGAUCGCAAGGUUGAAACUCAAAGGAAUUGACGGGGGCCCGCACAAGCAGCGGAGCAUGUGGUUUAAUUCGAAGCAACGCGAAGAACCUUACCAAGGCUUGACAUCCUCUGACGACUGUAGAGAUACAGUUUCCCUUCGGGGCAGAGAGACAGGUGGUGCAUGGUUGUCGUCAGCUCGUGUCGUGAGAUGUUGGGUUAAGUCCCGCAACGAGCGCAACCCUUAUUGCUAGUUGCCAGCGCGUAAAGGCGGGAACUCUAGUGAGACUGCCGGGGACAACUCGGAGGAAGGUGGGGACGACGUCAAAUCAUCAUGCCCCUUAUGUCUUGGGCUACACACGUGCUACAAUGGCCGGUACAAAGGGCAGCGAACCCGUAAGGGGAAGCGAAUCUCAAAAAGCCGGUCCCAGUUCGGAUUGUGGGCUGCAACCCGCCCACAUGAAGUCGGAGUUGCU
RNAcentral lists this ribosomal RNA (1227 nucleotides) under Christensenella minuta. Its description in RNAcentral is "bacterial SSU rRNA". It matches the Rfam family "Bacterial small subunit ribosomal RNA", at positions 93 to 1336 of the family's 1533-position model. Lineage: Bacteria; Bacillati; Bacillota; Clostridia; Christensenellales; Christensenellaceae. The record is from RNAcentral.